This 1921-nucleotide long non-coding RNA is filed under the name Brassica napus (rape). Its description in RNAcentral is "long non-coding RNA (BNAP_LNC019583)". The record is from RNAcentral. Lineage: Eukaryota; Viridiplantae; Streptophyta; Magnoliopsida; Brassicales; Brassicaceae.
UGACAAGUAGAUAAAAAAGAUUUUAGAAAUUUACUAAAAAACCUGAGUUUGCCUUGCAGAUGAAGGCAAUGGCAGUAUUGGAGGUUGUGCUUCUGAUGUAACUGGAGCAGAUUGUUCCAACCUAGCUGAUGAUGAUGCCUGAACCACCUCAACAUCUUUAUCCACGUUGUUAGAGGGUGGUGACAAAGAAACUGCAGCAGAUCCAGACUGCAGCAGUUGGCCAGGAGUAACCAAUACAGGUUUUGGCUGAUCUUGACUAACGGAACUAGAAACACCAGCAACAGGACCAGAUGUUAAUUGUGCUGUCUGCGGUACAGAAAUGGGACCAGUAACUACACUAGGCUUGUCAGACAGUGGAAGGCCAGCACUUGUAUCGGUAACUCUAGUACUUGGUACAGAAAAGGGAAGCAAAUUAGUAUCCUGAGGACGGGCAGGAGGCACAGAAAUAGGAGCCUUGUUCGAAAACAAAGGAGGUGCCAUAUCUGAAGCUAGGGAAGGAGAUGGUGCUGAUUGCAGGCCUGAAGACAGCGUCAUAGGUAGACUAGUAAAAGGCAAAGAACUGGGUGCUGGACUUUGAGAACUACUGCUAAAAGGAAACAAUGAAGAGGGUGGUUCCGGCAAGCUUGAGCCCUGAAAAGUUGAUGAACCAGCAGGUGUAGGGGCAUUAAAGUUAGGAUAUUGCAAGGGUUGCUGUAGAGAGCUGGGCAUUGGCAGUCCAUGAGGGGGUCGAAUCAGAGACUGUUGAUGCAACUGGGGAAGACCAUUGGGAGGUGGUGAGUAGAAUCCUUGCCAAUACAUUGGCGGUUGUGGCGAUGCUCCCCAAGAAUUAAGAUUUCCACCAGGCUGAUACAAAGGCAUUGAGUUUUGGAAUCCCAUCCCAGGUUGUCCAUUAUGAGAACUAAUGUCAGGCAGAGGAUUGCUCGCUGCAGGAGGCAAGCUACUCGAUGUAGGCAUAGGGCUAGGGUAGUGAGACUGCAAAACAAGAAGAGGAUACAUCAAAGUGAGACUAAGGUCGCAAACAAGAUCUCUCUAUAACAUUUCCACAAUUCACCUGGAUGAUAGCAGGGUCAUUGUUUAUAGUAGGUGGAGCUGGAGGUUGUACAGGUGGAGAGGCUUUGACUUGCAAAUCCUGCCAACAGCAAGAAGAAUCAGUGUGCACAAACAGUGAUAAUAACAUCAUAGCAUAAGCACAAUCCUGAUGGAUACCUUGAUAUCGGUUCCACGGAACAAUAUGUACUCAUAAACUUUGUCACUAGGAGGAACUUGAGGACCAUCUUUCUUCCUUCCUUCGGUUCCAAACGAUCGGACUACAAUACAUUCAAAAUUAAAGGCAUCAGGAAAUCUCAAUCUCACUAGACCUAAGCUCUCAUUUCAAAGCAAUCCUGCGACUUAAUCGAAACGAAAUCGUACCGUUCUGGAGUCCGAUACCAAGGUAAUUCAGACAUCAUCAAAUGCAAGAUAAGAUCAUGUUAAGUGUUCAUUACGCCACAAAAACACUUCUAGAUAAUUCAAGGCUCUUUCUCAUAUCAAUAAGUGAGUCGGCAAGAUCAUAUACAAGACUGACAAGUAGAUAAAAAAGAUUUUAGAAAUUUACUAAAAAACCUGAGUUUGCCUUGCAGAUGAAGGCAAUGGCAGUAUUGGAGGUUGUGCUUCUGAUGUAACUGGAGCAGAUUGUUCCAACCUAGCUGAUGAUGAUGCCUGAACCACCUCAACAUCUUUAUCCACGUUGUUAGAGGGUGGUGACAAAGAAACUGCAGCAGAUCCAGACUGCAGCAGUUGGCCAGGAGUAACCAAUACAGGUUUUGGCUGAUCUUGACUAACGGAACUAGAAACACCAGCAACAGGACCAGAUGUUAAUUGUGCUGUCUGCGGUACAGAAAUGGGACCAGUAACUACACUAGGCUUGUCAGACAGUGGAAGG